RNAcentral lists this ribosomal RNA (311 nucleotides) under uncultured bacterium. RNAcentral describes it as "bacterial SSU rRNA". It matches the Rfam family "Bacterial small subunit ribosomal RNA", at positions 28 to 350 of the family's 1533-position model. The record is from RNAcentral.
GACAAACGCUGGCGGCGUGCCUAAAACAUGCAAGUCGAACGGACUCUUCGGAGUCAGUGGCGGACGGCUGAGUAACACGUAGGUGACCUGCCCUUGAGUGGGGAAUAACGGUCCGAAAGGAUCGCUAAUACCGCAUACGACCGUUCCGUUUUGGUCGGGAUGAGGAAAGCCGAAAGGCGCUCGAGGAGGGGCCUGCGUCCGAUUAGCUAGUUGGUGGGUAAAGGCCGUACCAAGGCGACGAUCGGUAGCUGGUCAAGAGGAUGAUCAGCCAGACUGGGACUGAGACACGGCCCAGACUCCUACGGGAGGCA